GAAACCUGGUUACGCGUGUACCCUGCCCCCCAGGUCGCUCACGAGCCGACGUGUUCUGUCAUCUUCAGAUGCAUCGUUUGUCAACUCGGACUGGCCUCCUUUCUCGUCCUAUGGAACAUUUUGUGGGUGUUUGUCAUACACAAUUUUGAAGGGCCCUACGAAACUGAAGUGUCCAUACUAUUCGAGAAGGAACAAAAUCAACUCGUUAUUGACCUUGCUACGGAGUUGAGACAGAUCACCCCCUUAUCCCCAAAAUGGAAGCACGCCAUAGAGAAGCGGAUCGAAGACGAACGCCAGCUAACGAUGCUGGCGAUGGCGCGC
Molecule: long non-coding RNA, 321 nt
Organism: Ostrinia nubilalis (European corn borer)
Lineage: Eukaryota; Metazoa; Arthropoda; Insecta; Lepidoptera; Crambidae
Exons: 3
Source: RefSeq, a predicted model, not a curated record